Molecule: long non-coding RNA, 3051 nt
Filed under: Marmota monax (woodchuck)
Lineage: Eukaryota; Metazoa; Chordata; Mammalia; Rodentia; Sciuridae
Source: RNAcentral
CUUGGGAAGAGCAGAAUAGCCAGCAUUACUGGUGAAUUUUGGGACAAUCUUGUGUGAGGAAGAGACUCUGGUAAAGGGACUCAUGAAAUAACCUUACUUCCUUGACAAUGGGAAAACAGAAUUUGGGUCCAUGGCAGCCAGGCACCCACAGGCAGAACCAGCCCCAGCCAGCUCAGUUGUCUGGAGACCAUGAAGGAGUGAUGAUCUUUUGUUGUCUUCCCAGUUGCCAAGGUUCAGGCCUCAGGUAUUGAGUAAAGGCUUCGCCCGUGUCUGGAGAUGCUAGGUCAGUCCUCUCCCCCCGGAUGCAUCUAGAGAUUUUCCUGGAGGAACCCAGAAGUGACAGGGAACAGGCCAAGGCGGGUUGGCAUAAUCUAGCCCAAUACUCUGAUCACCCUACCCCAAACAUGGCCCCAGAGGCUCCCCAGGUGUGUGUGAGUGUGUGUGUGUGUGUGUGUGUGUGUGCGUGUGUGUGUGUAAAUAUGGAAGAAAAUACUUUUGGAGCUCUUUUUCACUUCACUGUAUGGACAUUAGUCAUUUUACAGUUUGCGACUAUUUCCACAUUAGAAUUAUCCCUUCUUGGUUCCAUCCAAGGGCAAAAAUGAGUCAGUCCAAACACUGAAUGAGCAUGACAGGGUAGGGACCUUGGAGACAGGCAUAGUGGAGAAGCUUAUAAACCACCUGGUGCUUGCCCUGUGGUGUGGGGACCCCUUCUUCAUACCUGCUUCCUGCAUACCUUCCAAAGUUUCAUUACCACCCAGCAAGUGCUAAACCUGCUAUACAAAAGGUGCACACCACCUCCAAGCCCAAGGGCACUUGCCCCUUCAGGCUGGGUCUUGGGAAUGCCAUAACAGUUUUCUGAGCCCCAGUGAGCUCUGUGAAAGCUGGGGGUUUCGGAGGAACACCAUCCUAGGGUGUUUUGAGGAUCAAAUAGGAUGAGCCCUCCAAGUGCUUGCCCCAGGCCUAGCCCUAUGCAAUGGGCUGCCUGGGGCUGUGGGCUUCUCUGUGUGACUGUCCCCUUCCCCAUAAAGCAGCACCUCUGCCUCAGGCCUUACUUCUUUGAGGCAUCAGGCAAAGCAGUUUCCUCAGUUGGGUUUUGGAUCAGGAGGGAGGGCUCCUUUCUCCAGAGUGGGAUACUUGGGAGGCUGGGGGAGAGGACAGAUGGGCAAACCCAGGGUCCCACACUUGUUUGGAUUCACACUAGAGGGCUGACAUUUGGGGCUUCGCCUUCAGGAGGAAGAGACAGCUGUAGGUGGGAUCCCAGGCAUCCAGGGAGAAGCAGAGGGGAGGCUGGUGGCUCAGACCAGGGGCACUCUUCAGGAUUUAUCCCCACCACAACCCCUCCAAGCCAGGCUUGAACAGGAUGUGUAGGGAAUGGCCUGCCCACACAUGGGCUUCACAACUCUGCUCUCCGUGCCCAUCUGUACAUGAGUAAUGUGGCCCGAUAAGGGGCCUUGAAAAGGUCCAGGGGAAGGCCAGGCCAGGCCCCUGAUUGUUGUCUGCCUGCUUGCCCCUGGUGCUUCCUGCUCCAUCCUGAAAACCUGGCUGAACAAAUACCCUGAGAAUUUCUGACCUGGCAAACAUAAGCAGUACCUCUGCCUCAAGCCUUACUUCUUUGAGGUAUUAGGCCUAUGUGCUACCUGGCUCAGACCUUACUCUGAGGCCACAGACUAUAGAAGGACCUGUGUUUCAGUGAGGCUGAGCCCUAUGGUGAGGAGGUUUGGGCUGGGUGACUAAAAACAUUUGAGGGGGUCAGUACUUGGCCCCAGCAGGAGGAAGCUCCAGGAGCUGGCUUUUGGUCAGGAACAGGAGCCUGCAGGCAGGGGACCCUAGUCUAGGAAGACAUCCUGUUGUGGGGACUAGGGCUUCUCUUGGAGGCAGGGGUCUUCUAUGAAUGGAAAAGGCUCAGGGAAAGGCAGUCAUGUUUGAGAUACAGAGCUGUCUCUGUCAGCAGCCUUCCUAAUUCAAUCCUUAGAUUUGGGGUAGCCCAGAGACAGAGGCCCUGAUCUUGAAGAGAAGGAAUAAUCAGUGCUAAUAUCAACAUUGAAGGAAGGGUCAGCUCCAAUACCAUCCCCAGGGAGAGACCAUGAGUCACAGGUCCAGCUACAAAGCAGGAGGAAGCUCAGUCCCAGGACAUUCCACCUCUGGCAGCACAUAUUCCAGCUGUACAUAUGUGGCAGCUGUGGCCACCUCAGUGGAGGUACAUCCAUCUUCCCUUCUGGCAGCUGAUCUUCCAGUCAUGGGGGAUUUAGAGCUUGCAGGUCCAGAAGCAGCCAAACCAGACUUCAUUCCACAUAGUCUGGAUGCUCUGGAUCACAUGGUAAUUGGGGCAACAUUUAUUGGGGUAGAGCCCCCUCCUCCUGGGACAAUGGACCUUCCAGCCAAUAUGGAACAAGAGCUGGCAGGUUUCCACCUGGACAGCACGUGGCCCAGCAGCUGAGGAUCCUGGGAAGGAUGGGGCCACCUCUAUGGAGAUAGACAUCUUGCUUUGAGGCAGCUAAUCCUCCAGCCAUUGGGAAUCUAAAGCUUGCAGGUCCAGAAGCAGUUGAGUCAAACUACAUUCCAAUUCUGGCAGCACAUGGUCCAAAUGCUGUGGAUCCUGAGACAGCUGGGCCAACAUUUGUUGGGGUAAAGCCCCCCACCCCUACUCCUGGAGCAACAAACCUUCCAGCCAAUAUGCAACAAGAACUGGUAGAUUUAUGUGGGGCUGAGUCAGAGCCCAUUCCACCUCUGGUAGCACAUGGCCCAGCAGCUGAGGAUCCUGGGAAAUCGGGAGCCAUCUCUGUGGAGACACAGCCAUCUCUCCUUUUGGCAGCUGAUCUUCCAGCUAUGGGGGGUCUAGAGCUUACAGGUCCAGAAGCAAGCCAGACCCAAUUCCACCUAGGGCAGCACACCUUCUGGCUGUCGUGGAUCUAGAGCCCUUUCAGGCACCUGACCUCCCUCAGUGUCAGUUCCUGAUCUUCACUCAUUGCCAGCUCCCCUACCACUUAUGUCCUUCCCUUCCCCUGGAAAACUGUCCUGUUUAUUUUUUCUUACACUUCUUUUUUUUACAUG